This is a long non-coding RNA of Nicotiana tabacum (common tobacco), 618 nucleotides long. RefSeq lists it as uncharacterized. The record is from RefSeq and is a predicted model, not a curated record. Lineage: Eukaryota; Viridiplantae; Streptophyta; Magnoliopsida; Solanales; Solanaceae.
GGGCGUCUACUAUUUUAUCUCAAAAACGCUACAAAACUCCCCCUUUUCUCAUACCCAAAUAACUGAUGCCGUCGUCUCGCAUUCAUAAAAUUGAUACUGCUGAUAAUUCUCAAACUUCUAAUCAAGAUUAUUAAGGCGCGAAGAGGACAAAGCCUUGGAACUGUGGCACUAGAUAACCAUAAGCUCAUUAUUCAUGAAGGACUUGCAAUGUUGGAUCCCUCAAGGAGAUGACAUUCUGCUUUUCAGCCGGUCAAUAGGAUCAUCUCCUUCAAUUGGGAUAAAUAAAUAUGUGCUCAAAAUGACUUGCACUAGGAGCAUACUCAAGGGUCGUCAUCCUUGUCAAAGGUUGAUAUGCAAAAAUUAGAGUCAAGAAGAGGACAGUCUUAUGUAAAGGGUGUUGCCAUAAAGAUUCCAGUUGCCUCGCUCUUUGUACGGAGGCUCACUAAGUGAACUGUUGUGAAUCAGUGUUCUUGUAGUCGGCAUUGGUCUUUAUUUAUAGUUAGCAUUCAGCUUGUUCUGAAGAUGAACAAGGAUAAAAAUUUAUAUUCUAUGAGAACCAUUAUCGAAUGAUGGUGUAAGAUUUAUAAAAAUAAUAUAUAAGUGACUCUUUUGUUUUAA